AUUGAACGCUGGCGGCAUGCCUUACACAUGCAAGUCGAACGGUAACGGGCCUUCGGGUGCCGACGAGUGGCGAACGGGUGAGUAAUGCAUCGGGAACGUACCUUUCAGUGGGGGAUAACGUAGCGAAAGUUACGCUAAUACCGCAUAUUCUGUGAGCAGGAAAGCAGGGGAUCGCAAGACCUUGCGCUGAUUGAGCGGCCGAUGUCAGAUUAGCUAGUUGGUGAGGUAAAGGCUCACCAAGGCGACGAUCUGUAGCGGGUCUGAGAGGAUGAUCCGCCACACUGGAACUGAGACACGGUCCAGACUCCUACGGGAGGCAGCAGUGGGGAAUUUUGGACCAAAUGGGGGGCAACCCUGAUCCAGCCAUGCCGCGUGAGUGAAGAAAGGCC
RNAcentral lists this ribosomal RNA (389 nucleotides) under uncultured bacterium. RNAcentral describes it as "bacterial SSU rRNA". It matches the Rfam family "Bacterial small subunit ribosomal RNA", at positions 30 to 417 of the family's 1533-position model. The record is from RNAcentral.